AGUACAGUGGCGACCGGGUGAGUAACACGUGACUACCUACCCUUGAGUGGGGGAUAACCUCGGGAAACCGAGGCUAAUACCGCAUAAUAUCGGCGUCUAAUUAACGUCGAUCAAAGGAGUAAUCCGCUUUUGGAGGGGGUCGCGGCUGAUUAGCUAGUUGGUAGGGUAAUGGCCUACCAAGGCGAAGAUCGGUAUCCGGCCUGAGAGGGCGCACGGACACACUGGAACUGAAACACGGUCCAG
RNAcentral lists this ribosomal RNA (243 nucleotides) under uncultured bacterium. RNAcentral describes it as "partial 16S ribosomal RNA". It matches the Rfam family "Bacterial small subunit ribosomal RNA", at positions 89 to 334 of the family's 1533-position model. The record is from RNAcentral.